Molecule: transfer RNA, 76 nt
Filed under: Candidatus Terraquivivens tikiterensis
Lineage: Archaea; Thermoproteati; Nitrososphaerota; Candidatus Wolframiiraptoraceae
Description: Aigarchaeota archaeon NZ13_MG1 tRNA-Ala
Rfam family: tRNA
About the family: Transfer RNA (tRNA) molecules are approximately 80 nucleotides in length. Their secondary structure includes four short double-helical elements and three loops (D, anti-codon, and T loops).
Source: RNAcentral
GGGCCCGUGGCCUAGCAAGGAUAGGGCGCCGGAUGGGCUAGCCGGAAAAUCCGGGGUUCGAGUCCCCGCGGGCCCG